UCCGGUUUGUCACCGGCAGUCUCCCUAGAGUGCCCUUGCGUAGCAACUAAUGAUAAGGGUUGCGCUCGUUGCGGGACUUAACCCAACAUCUCACGACACGAGCUGACGACAGCCAUGCAGCACCUGUGUCCACUUUCCCUUUCGGGCACCUAAUGCAUCUCUGCUUCGUUAGUGGCAUGUCAAGGGUAGGUAAGGUGGGGAUGACGUGUGCGUAACAGAA
This 220-nucleotide unclassified non-coding RNA is filed under the name uncultured Gammaproteobacteria bacterium. Its description in RNAcentral is "contains 16S-23S intergenic spacer region". The record is from RNAcentral. Lineage: Bacteria; Pseudomonadati; Pseudomonadota; Gammaproteobacteria.